RNAcentral lists this ribosomal RNA (415 nucleotides) under bacterium QLW23-isolate5. Its description in RNAcentral is "SSU rRNA". It matches the Rfam family "Bacterial small subunit ribosomal RNA", at positions 17 to 458 of the family's 1533-position model. The record is from RNAcentral.
UCCUGGCUCAGAGCGAACGCUGGCGGCAGGCCUAACACAUGCAAGUCGAACGGACUCUUCGGAGUUAGUGGCGGACGGGUGAGUAACACGUGGGAACGUGCCUUUAGGUUCGGAAUAAGCCCGGGAAACUGGGUCUAAUACCGAAUGUGCCCUUCGGGGGAAAGAUUUAUCGCCUUUAGAGCGGCCCGCGUCUGAUUAGCUAGUUGGUGAGGUAAAGGCUCANCUCAAGGCGACGAUCAGUAGCUGGUCUGAGAGGAUGAUCAGCCACACUGGGACUGAGACACGGCCCAGACUCCUACGGGAGGCAGCAGUGGGGAAUCUUGCGCAAUGGGCGAAAGCCUGACGCAGCCAUGCCGCGUGAAUGAUGAAGGUCUUAGGAUUGUAAAAUUCUUUCACCGGGGACGAUAAUGACGUA